UCAAGUAAGGAGGAACAAGUUACCACUACAAACCAGUCAUCCUAUCUGCUCAUUCACAGUCUCCUACACUGGCCUCCAUCCCCUCUCCCAGGGAACACAUGAGAAUGCAGGGUAACCGGGCAGAAGAGCCUAAUCACACCACCUGAAGAAGCUGCAGAAAUUCAAGAGUGAAAGGUUUUUAGAAAUGCUGAACAAUACAAGAAAAAUGGAGGCACAGCACUUUUAUGUCUAGCUUUGUCAAAAACCCUAAGAUAUCGGCACUUGUCUCUGAACCACUGAAGAUUCAGAUGCAUUCAUCAUUAUGGUAACUUCUAAAUAAACCCUAGGUGCUUUUAAGUUCUAAUUUAAA
Neopsephotus bourkii (Bourke's parrot) is the source of this 349-nucleotide long non-coding RNA. RefSeq lists it as uncharacterized. The transcript is spliced from 2 exons. The record is from RefSeq and is a predicted model, not a curated record. Lineage: Eukaryota; Metazoa; Chordata; Aves; Psittaciformes; Psittacidae.